ACAAACCAACAGGGAUUGCCCUAGUAACGGCGAGUGAAGCGGCAACAGCUCAAAUUUGAAAUCUGGCCCCCCGGCCCGAGUUGUAAUUUGUAGAGGAUGCUUCUGGGUAGCGACCGGUCUAAGUUCCUUGGAACAGGACGUCAUAGAGGGUGAGAAUCCCGUAUGCGACCGGCCCGCGCCCUCCACGUAGCUCCUUCGACGAGUCGAGUUGUUUGGGAAUGCAGCUCUAAAUGGGAGGUAAAUUUCUUCUAAAGCUAAAUACCGGCCAGAGACCGAUAGCGCACAAGUAGAGUGAUCGAAAGAUGAAAAGCACUUUGGAAAGAGAGUUAAAAAGCACGUGAAAUUGUUGAAAGGGAAGCGCUUACAACCAGACUUUGGGGCGGUGUUCCGCCGGUCUUCUGACCGGUCUACUCUCCGUCCCGAGGCCAACAUCAUCUGGGACCGCCGGACAAGACCUCAGGAAUGUAGCUCCCCCUCGGGGGAGUGUUAUAGCCUGUGGUGAUGCGGCGCGUCCCGGGUGAGGUCCGCGCUUCGGCAAGGAUGUUGGCGUAAUGGUUGUCAGCGGCCCGUCUUGAAACACGGACCAAGGAGUCUAACAUCUAUGCGAGUGUUCGGGUGUCAAACCCCUACGCGGAAUGAAAGUGAACGGAGGUGGGGAAGGGGCAACCCUGCACCAUCGACCGAUCCUGAUGUCCUCGGAUGGAUUUGAGUAAGAGCAUAGCUGUUGGGACCCGAAAGAUGGUGAACUAUGCCUGAAUAAGGGUGAAGCCAGAGGAAACU
Molecule: ribosomal RNA, 780 nt
Filed under: Zymoseptoria tritici
Lineage: Eukaryota; Fungi; Ascomycota; Dothideomycetes; Mycosphaerellales; Mycosphaerellaceae
Description: partial large subunit ribosomal RNA
Rfam family: Eukaryotic large subunit ribosomal RNA
Source: RNAcentral